This is a small nuclear RNA of Etheostoma spectabile (orangethroat darter), 118 nucleotides long. The record is from RefSeq and is a predicted model, not a curated record. NCBI's taxonomy places the organism in Eukaryota, Metazoa, Chordata, Actinopteri, Perciformes, Percidae.
UUGUUGUAUGAAAGGAGAGAAGGUUAGCACUCCCCUUGACAAGGAUGGAAUUGGCCCUGGUGGCCAUCAACACACAUAUGGUUAAGGCACUUCGUGGCAUCUAUAACCAGAUCUUUUU